Molecule: long non-coding RNA, 921 nt
Filed under: Homo sapiens (human)
Lineage: Eukaryota; Metazoa; Chordata; Mammalia; Primates; Hominidae
Description: non-protein coding lnc-ANKEF1-5:1
Source: RNAcentral
CUUGGUUUUCCAUUCCUGAGUUAUUUCACUUAGAAUGAUGGUCUCCAAUUUGAUCCAGGUUGCUGAGAAUGCCAUUAUUUCAUUCCUUUUUAAGGCUGAGUAAUAUUCCAUAGUAUACAUAUACUACAUUUUCUUUAUCUACUCAUUGAUGGGCAUUUGGGCUAGCUCCAUAUUUUUGCAAUUGUGAAUCAUGCUUUUAUAAACAUGCAUGUGCAGGUAUAUUUUUCUUAUAAUGACUUAUUUUUCUCUGGAUAGAUACCCAGGAAUGGGGGUAGAUCUACUUUUAGUUCUCUAAGGAAUCUCCGUACUGUUUUCCUUGGAGACCAUUCUAGAGGAUUGUUUCAGGCAGAAGAGGCUGAGCAAGGAAGAAUGCUGUUUGUGAUGCAUUUGUUUCCAUCAGGAGUAAUAACCACCCCAAUCACAUAUGUACCAUUCCAGCCUCAUUGGUUUCCUCCCUUUUGCCGGAAUAAGGUAUUUAAUUUCUGCUCACUUUCUCCCCUUCUCUCCUUUUCCCCAUUAACCUAAUUCCCACUCUUCAUUUAGAGCCCAUCUAAAUCUGACCAAUACUUUUAAGUUUUCUCAAGCUUUUCUGGUCUGGAAAUCCCUUCUUGCCUUAUCAAUUAAAAUCUGCAGGCUUCAAGAGGUGCUUAGCUCAAUUAUGCCCAUAUCAUCAAUGAUUUUGUAACAACUGUAUUUUCUCUCCAAAAGUAUAUUGAAAACCCUUAACCCCAUUAGGUUAAGGUCCUAAUGCUACACAUUUUUCUAGUUUUAAAAAUUAAGGUAUAAUUCUUCCCUUUUUGUAUAUUAAUUCCACAAGUUCUAACAAAUGACAUAUUCCAUUGUAUGUGUGUACCAUAGUUUUUUUUAUUGACUCCCAAGCUGAAGGACUUUUGAGUUAUUUACAACUUGGAUGACUAUGAA